AAAAAAGGACGAAAACAGAGGCCUCUGGAAAGUGCUGGCAAGUUCUAGACUUCAUCAUUUCUGGAACUCGCACGAGACCACCGGAAUUUUCCUCUCGCACUAUAAAUUAACCUCCUCCUUCACCGAAUUCCCCAUCAACCAAUUCGAGUGAUACAUCCCAAUUUCUCAGCAAUCAAACAAUCGCACAUUUUAAUUCUCUUCAGUAGAAAGCUAAAAAUGUCUCUGAUUCCGAGCUUCUUCGGCAACCGCCGCAGCAACGUCUUCGACCCAUUUUCUCUCGAUAUUUGGGAUCCCUUCGAGGGGUUUCCUCUCUCCAGCGCCGUCGCCAACUUCCCCUCCUCCGCCCGUGAAACCACCGCGGUGGCCAACGCCCGCAUCGACUGGAAGGAGACGCCGGAGGCCCAUCUCUUCAAGGUGGAUGUUCCCGGAUUGAAGAAAGAGGAAGUCAAGGUC
This 453-nucleotide long non-coding RNA is filed under the name Salvia miltiorrhiza (redroot sage). Its description in RNAcentral is "long non-coding RNA (SMIL_LNC008483)". The record is from RNAcentral. Lineage: Eukaryota; Viridiplantae; Streptophyta; Magnoliopsida; Lamiales; Lamiaceae.